AAGUCGUAACAAGGUCUCCGUUGGUGAACCAGCGGAGGGAUCAUUACAGAGUUGCAAAACUCCCUAAACCAUUGUGAACCUACCACUAAACAGUUGCUUCGGCGGGUGGCGCGAGGGCCCCUUCACGGGGGCCGGAGCGCCCUAGACAGCCCGCCGGAGGUACUCAAACUCUUGUUUAAUAAGGCCUCUCUGAGUAUUGUACUUAAAUAAGUCAAAACUUUCAACAACGGAUCUCUUGGUUCUG
Molecule: unclassified non-coding RNA, 244 nt
Filed under: Cladorrhinum flexuosum
Lineage: Eukaryota; Fungi; Ascomycota; Sordariomycetes; Sordariales; Podosporaceae
Description: partial internal transcribed spacer region
Rfam family: Eukaryotic small subunit ribosomal RNA (bases 1-46)
Source: RNAcentral